Chiloscyllium plagiosum (whitespotted bambooshark) is the source of this 1060-nucleotide non-coding RNA. The record is from RefSeq and is a predicted model, not a curated record. NCBI's taxonomy places the organism in Eukaryota, Metazoa, Chordata, Chondrichthyes, Orectolobiformes, Hemiscylliidae.
UCAGUUGUGAAUUUCACCGUUUGUUAACUUUCCCAGACGCACUCCGAAGUCCAGCGAUACUGGACUUCAAACAGCAAAGGAAGUAACUGUGCAGGUUCACUGCUGUGUCUUCUGGGAGAGAAUUCCAACCUUAUGGUAACCUCGGCCUUGGCCGAGCUUCAUUCCCCAUACUGUCCAGCGAUGUGCAGGACAGGCUGUUUCAAACAGACAGCUAACCCUCAAGGAUCAGAAAAUAAGCUACAGACCUGCGAUCUCCAGAAGCGUGCAGACGUGGUGUUAGAACGUCACACCACAAAUUUGAAAGUGAGGAAACUGCACUAGAAUUCAAAUAUCAGACAUGGCAAGCCGAUUCUAACAUCUGUGAUGUUACAAUUCUAUGAUUCUUGGAACUGAAACCCCAGGUAAGGAUAUCAAAACUGAGCUCUGUAUUCAAGAUAUAGUCCCAACAGUGCUCUGUAACAGAUGGAAAAUUUCCUUACUUUUAUGUUCAGUUCCUUUCAUAAUAAGAGCCAGCAUGUCAUUGGUCUCUCUAAUCACUUGCUGUGCCUGCAUUAUAACUUGUGAUUUAUUCGCAAGGCCCCAGAUCCCUCUGCAUCUCAGAAUUAUGCAGUUGUUCUUCAAGCAGCUAAUAAAUUGCAUUUUACCAUAUUAUACACCAUUUGCAAGAUUUUUGCUUAUUUACUUAACCAAUCAUCAAUCUAUAUCCUUAAUAUGUCAUCCACACAGUGUACUUUUCAAUUUAUCUUUGUGUCACCUGCAAAUGUAACCACAUACCUUUGAUCCCCUCCUGUAAGUCAUCGAUAUAAUUGUAGAAAGUUGAGGAGCCAGCAGAGAUGCCUGUAGGAACUCCCCAUAUUGUCAUAUACAACCAAUUUAACAAAAGAACCAUUUUUGCAUAUUCUGUUUUCUGCUAGUCAGUUGAUGUUCUAUAACUAUACUUUACACCAUGAGCUCCUCUGUACAAUAUGUUUUUUGUGAAAACAUAUCAAACACCUUUUGGGAUAUUCAAGAUCAGCAUAUCCACAGGCUUCAAUUUACAUACUCUUUCAAAGAAUUCCUU